GAGCGGUUUCCGAGGCCUCACGCGCUGGCGGGGCUGUUGAGAUCGGUUGGGGGCUCCCAGGCCGCGAGGCGCGCUGCCAGUUGGGAUGAAAAUGGCGGAUGAGGCCGGGCGCGGUGGCUCACGCCUGUGGUCCCAGCACUUUGGGAGGCCGAGGCGGGCGGAUCACAAGGUCAGGAAAUCGAGACCAUCCUGGCGAACACUGUGAAACCCCGUCUCUUCUAAAAAUACAAAAAAAAAUUAGCCAGGCGUGGUGGCGGGCGCUUGUAGUCCCAGCUACUCAGGAUGCUGAGGCAGGAGAAUGGCGUGAACCCGGGAGGCGCAGCUUGCAGCGAGCCAAGAUGGCGCCGCUGCACUCCAGCCUGGGCAGCAGAGCGAGACUCCAUCUCAAAAAAAAAAAAAAAAAAAAAGAAAAGAAAAGAAACUGGCGGACAAAGGAAGAGAUCCUCCUUCAGGCAGGGUAGGGAAGAAGGGCACUCGGUGACCAGAGACCUUUUCCAGGACCAUGUCUUUGAAGCAAAUCUCAGCUCUUGUCUUCCGGAAGCGAUGGAGACAGAAUCCAGAAGCCUGAGCAGACUCUCUCCUUUCCUGGCUUUGAUGAAGCAAGCUGCCACACUGGAGAGGCCUACAUGAUAAGGACCUGAAGGUGGCCUCCAGCUAGCUCCAGCCAACAGUUGGCAAGGAAUUGAGGACCUGAGUCCAAUAGACCUUGAGGAACUGAAUCCUGCAACAGCUACACAAGUGAGCAUGGCAGUGUAUCCUUCCCCAGUAAAGCCUUCAGAUGAGACCCCAGCCCCAGCUGACACCUUGAUUGAAGCCUUGUGAGAGACCCUGAAGCAGAGAAACCAGCUAGGCCUUGCCUGGAUUCCUGAUCCACAAACUGCUUUUGUGAUGCCCUAUAAUUACAUGAACUCUACUAAAAAGAGGGAUACUGGAAAGAAGAAUAAUGUUGAGACACCUUUGCAGAAGAAAAAACAACUUCCUCUCUUCCUCUACUUCACUCUGGCAAGUUCUCCAACCUGACAAGCCAGUAGGGAGUGCCGGAAUGUCAUGGCUGAGAAAAGAGAUGUUAACAGGCUGUAUGAUGUUGGCCACAGAGUGCCCCCCUAAAGAGGCCUCAGAAGAAUGAAGGGUAAGAAGCUCCUCCAUGAAAUCAGAUGGCACAAAAUUAGAGGAAAAAGAGUCCUUGGCAUGAGGCUGCCACCAGGAGAAUUCUGAAGAUGCAGGGCAUGAAUGGUCAAUGCCUUUCGUUGUUGGGGCAGAGGUGGAUGACCCACCAGAGCCACCUAGAGAUAACAUUUCCGGAAAAGUCUUCAAGACGCUGAAAGAGGAUUUCUUCUGUGAGAGCCACACUUGAUGUGCUCAGUUAGAAGUCCUCAUCCAGGGCACAGACUCAGAGGUCGACAGUCACAUCUGUGCUCCCUCACAGGGCAAGCAUCCCAGAGACAGAGCUCUGGCUCCAGCCUCUGCUCAGAGACUCUCAGCGUUACUCCCCUGGUCAGCCCAACAAGAAGGAAGGCUUUGUUGAAUGACGGGUGACAUGGGAAUCUGACUCAUGAUCAAAUUUCAGCAGAGACUAUUCUCCUUCAGAGAGCCCAGACUCUCUAAAUAAUCCCACCUGGGACCACAGAAUUACUGUUUGGGAUUUUAUCCUGGAACUCUCCACCACAGCCGGAUAGGUAGUCUAUGAGCUACAGAUGGAAACCUUUGUCCUCCUGAACCCCUACAUCUGCCCAACCUGUUCCACAGAAGAGUGAAGUUCUAUCCUCUCUUCAGACUUCCCAUCUAAGACAUGUCUCUGUACUAACCAAACUUAUUUAGAAAUGUGGGAAUAGGAUUCGGAAACAAAAACAGGGCAUCUCUCUUGGGUGUUCACCCACAGUUCCUUACCUUUUGGGUGUCAUUAUUUUUUUCGGUGGGUGAUGAAUACAGGGUCAAUACCAUGUAGAACAAGUACAGUAUAAACAACCCCAACCCACUCAAGCAGAUGAAGUUGAGGUCAAUAUCCAAACAAUGUGAGUCAGGGCUCAGCCCUGUCUCAGUAUAGCUGUUCAGAAAACAGAGGAUAUUCUCCAUGGUCUGAAUAGCUCAGCUGCCUGAAGCAACUGAGCACUGAGGGUGCCCAGGCUUAACUGUAAGCACAGGCCUGCAUCACAGAGCGUGGAAGAGUCACAGAGGGUUUCUGAGGGUGGAGGGAUCAACAAGAGGAGGGUGUGUCCACAGCCCCAACCCCACCAGCCCAGCUGACUCCACCUUCCUGGGCCCUCUAGGUCGCUCUGUCCUACCCUAACACUCCAUUUCCCAACUCCAUCCUUUUUCAAGUCAUAUAUUUAUCUUAGUUGAAUUUUCCGUUUGUUCCAACAGUAAACCAGGCAUUACCCAAGUCCCACUUCGCUGUUUGGAGCCCUUAACUUGGACCCCACCAACUACACUGCCUUGAAAGCCUGAAAUACUGCCUGGAAUAUUUGUUGUACCCAGGCUUUUCUACUCUCAGGAUCACAUAUGUCCUCAAAUCCGUCUUAUCUACAGUAUGUUUUUGCCUUACAUAAAUGCAGAUAUAAAACUUAAACUUCCUUUAUUCUUACUUCGUUUCGUGAAUGGUGAACAUUACAUUCUUUGUUUGAAGUCAGUUUUUACUAUUUCCAAUCAGAGGGACUGACUCAAAUGAUUAAAACUAACGUUAUCAAGGAAAAGAAGCUCCCUGCCCAAUUUGAUUUUUUUGAGAAAAGAUGUUUUUAUUGGAAAUUAACCAAAAAGGAGACAGGAGUCCAGCUCAAAUCAGUCCUGUGUGCUGGCUUUCAUGCAGUCAUUUUAUUAGAAAACAUUUAGGGAGUGGCCUCUGGAAUUAAUAGUUGAUUGCUGGAAGGAAAGGGGAGGUCUGAAAAUCCUCGGCAUGCACAGUUUUCUUUAACGCUGCCUCAUGUAUUCCAUGGGCACAUUUGUGGGGAGUUGGUUAAAAUGUGGCAGAAAUUUGGGCUGUGACGCCAGCCAGCUUGUUCUGUGCAAACUCCAGUUGGCCUUAAUAGUUUUAAUCCAUUUUAGCCAGUUUUUAAAUCUCAGAAGCAGGGAGAGUUUCGGCAUUUUAGCAAGUUACUGUUGUUGUUUUUGUUUGAUCUCCUUUCUUGUAAACUGAUUAAUUUCAUUAGUCAUUGUUUUCUUCAACUCUCUGGGGCAUGGUUUCACUAAUAAUGCAUUAUUUAACAUCUACAAAAUGAAAAUAAGUGUACAAUAAAUGUAUAUAAUUGAAACUUCCAGGGACCUUAGGGGUAAAUUUAUAGAACUUAUUUUUCUCAAGUUAGUGAAGUUUAAACUGUUCAAGCACUUUUGGAACAUACUCUGUACACAAACACACAUACGCAUCGACCUAAAAGGGAGAAGUUGAUGGAAAAUUAUUAUAAGUAGAGAGUUAAUUUGGGUCAAGCUUGAGGAUUGCAACCUGGGAACACAGAUGCAAGUCAGCCUAAAUAUACACUCCAAUUACCAGUAGUUAUGAGUGGGUUUUUAAAGUGGAAAAAGGGGACAAGGAGUCGGCUGAUACAAAGUUGUAAUCAGGAAUUCUCAUUGGUUUACAGGAGUGACAUUGCUUAGUGAUUGGCUGUACAUUAUUAAGCUAUAGGGGGUGGGUUAUCCUGUCAGGUGUGGCAUUAUUGGGUUACUAUAUAGCUCCAUAUGGCAAUAGCAAGCAGUUUCAAGAGAUGAAUGUGUAGCUCAAGGAGGAAAUAAGGCUGUGAUUUCUGUCUCAUUUUAAUGUCUCUCUAGGCCUGAUAACUUAAAAGGACUCACAUGCCUCAGAUAAAAGUUCUUUUCUUUACAAACACAUCCACACACCCAUCCUGUGACAAAUCAAUGAGUGUUUUCAAAUCCAGAAUCAAUUAGUUCCUCCUUUUAUUUUAAUUUCUUAUUUGUCAUUUUGACCCCACAUUUUCUAACUCUACCGCAAACACAACCAGGCCCAACCCUCCACAUCACUUUGGUGGCAAGUAUGCAACUCCCUUAAAGCAGGGAUAGGUUACAGUGCGCUAAGCUAUUGUGAUCUAAAAGACCAAAAUAGAUGCCCCUUUAUCAACUAAGACAGACCCUUAGGUUAAGGAAACAAAGUUACCGAUGGGUCAAGGGUUCAGGGCCUGGAUGGCAUGGCAAAUUUCUAACUUUCUAUAACUAAACUCCCUCUCACCAAAUGAGCUAUCGGCUCUGAUUGGACA
Molecule: long non-coding RNA, 4199 nt
Filed under: Homo sapiens (human)
Lineage: Eukaryota; Metazoa; Chordata; Mammalia; Primates; Hominidae
Description: HSALNT0353067
Source: RNAcentral